GAUGAACGCUGGCGGCGUGCCUAAUACAUGCAAGUCGAGCGAACGGACGAGAAGCUUGCUUCUCUGAUGUUAGCGGCGGACGGGUGAGUAACACGUGGAUAACCUACCUAUAAGACUGGGAUAACUUCGGGAAACCGUAGCUAAUACCGGAUAAUAUUUUGAACCGCAUGGUUCAAAAGUGAAAGACGGUCUUGCUGUCACUUAUAGAUGGAUCCGCGCUGCAUUAGCUAGUUGGUAAGGUAACGGCUUACCAAGGCAACGAUGCAUAGCCGACCUGAGAGGGUGAUCGGCCACACUGGAACUGAGACACGGUCCAGACUCCUACGGGAGGCAGCAGUAGGGAAUCUUCCGCAAUGGGCGAAAGCCUGACGGAGCAACGCCGCGUGAGUGAUGAAGGUCUUCGGAUCGUAAAACUCUGUUAUUAGGGAAGAACAGAUGUGUAAGUAACUGUGCACGUCUUGACGGUACCUAAUCAGAAAGCCACGGCUAACUACGUG
Molecule: ribosomal RNA, 497 nt
Filed under: uncultured bacterium
Lineage: Bacteria
Description: partial 16S ribosomal RNA
Rfam family: Bacterial small subunit ribosomal RNA
Source: RNAcentral